RNAcentral lists this ribosomal RNA (253 nucleotides) under uncultured bacterium. Its description in RNAcentral is "partial 16S ribosomal RNA". It matches the Rfam family "Bacterial small subunit ribosomal RNA", at positions 524 to 776 of the family's 1533-position model. The record is from RNAcentral.
UACGUAGGGGGCAAGCGUUGUCCGGAUUUAUUGGGCGUAAAGAGCGUGUAGGCGGCUUUACAGGUCCGUUGUGAAAACUCGAGGCUCAACCUCGAGACGCCGGUGGAAACCGUAAAGCUAGAGUCCGGAAGAGGAGAGUGGAAUUCCUGGUGUAGCGGUGAAAUGCGCAGAUAUCAGGAGGAACACCCGUGGCGAAAGCGGCUCUCUGGGACGGUACUGACGCCGAGACGCGAAAGCGUGGGGAGCGAACAGG